RNAcentral lists this ribosomal RNA (687 nucleotides) under uncultured bacterium. RNAcentral's name for it is "bacterial SSU rRNA". It matches the Rfam family "Bacterial small subunit ribosomal RNA", at positions 813 to 1500 of the family's 1533-position model. The record is from RNAcentral.
CGACUUGGAGGUUGUGCCCUUGAGGCGUGGCUUCCCGAGCUAACGCGUUAAGUCGACCGCCUGGGGAGUACGGCCGCAAGGUUAAAACUCAAAUGAAUUGACGGGGGCCCGCACAAGCGGUGGAGCAUGUGGUUUAAUUCGAUGCAACGCGAAGAGCCUUACCUGGUCUUGACAUCCACGGAAUUUGGCAGAGAUGCCUUAGUGCCUUCGGGAACCGUGAGACAGGUGCUGCAUGGCUGUCGUCAGCUCGUGUUGUGAAAUAUUAGGUUAAGUCCCGCAACGAGCGCAACCCUUAUCCUUUGUUGCCAGCGGUCCGGCCGGGAACUCAAAGGAGACUGUCAGUGAUAAACUGGAGGAAGGUGGGGAUGACGUCAAGUCAUCAUGGCCCUUACGAGUAGGGCUACACACGUGCUACAAUGGCGCAUACAAAGAGAAGCGACCUCGCGAGAGCAAGCGGACCUCAUAAAGUGCGUCGUAGUCCGGAUUGGAGUCUGCAACUCGACUCCAUGAAGUCGGAAUCGCUAGUAAUCGUAGAUCAGAAUGCUACGGUGAAUACGUUCCCGGGCCUUGUACACACCGCCCGUCACACCAUGGGAGUGGGUUGCAAAAGAAGUAGGUAGCUUAACCUUCGGGAGGGCGCUUACCACUUUGUGAUUCAUGACUGGGGUGAAGUCGUAACAAGGUAUC